UCCCGUUUAGCUCAGUGGUAGAGCGCUUCACUAGUAGCAUUAAUGGCAAUGCGACAAUGAAGAGGUCAGUCGUUCAAGUCGGCUAAUGGGAA
Abortiporus biennis is the source of this 92-nucleotide non-coding RNA. The record is from the annotation of a GenBank genome assembly. Lineage: Eukaryota; Fungi; Basidiomycota; Agaricomycetes; Polyporales; Podoscyphaceae.